RNAcentral lists this long non-coding RNA (1077 nucleotides) under Homo sapiens (human). RNAcentral's name for it is "HSALNT0243834". The record is from RNAcentral. Lineage: Eukaryota; Metazoa; Chordata; Mammalia; Primates; Hominidae.
UGAAGGUGGUAGGUGCUAAAAAAGGAAGAAGAUGGAACAUGCUGGCAAGAGGCAGGCUGGGGGAGGUUUUCAGCAACUUUAAGGUGGUCAGAAAAGGUUCUCUCCCUAUGGUGACACUUGAGCAAACACUCGAAAGAAGGUGGGGGGACGAGACAUGGAUGAUGAAGAAAGAGCACUCUAGGCAAUGGGGAAUACAAAUGACAGGGCUCUGAGCUGGCAGCAUCUCCAGCAUGUUCUAGAAAUAGCAAGGUCAGUGCUGCUGGAGCAGACUGAGUGAGGUGGAGAACAGCAGAUCAAAAAGAGGGCUUCGGUUUUUCCUGAGUGAGAUGAGAAGCUUUCCUGGAGUGUUCUGAGCAAAGGAGCAACACAACAUGCACCUUUUAACAGGGCCACUCUAUCAGGGGAGGAGGAGUGGCGGUGGCUUAUAGCAGGGUGGUAGCAGUAGACAGGCUAGGAAGUGGUCAGACUCAGGAUACGUUUUGAAGUUAGAGUCAAACAGGAUUUGCUGAUGGUUUGGAAGUGGAGUGUAAGAAAAAGAAAGGAUUCCUUUUUUUGUUAGCUACAAACCAUUUAUAAACCCCAUUCCCCAGAAUAAUUCUAUAAUCAGACUUCUCUAUGGUUAUAGCAGGCUAAAUGAACACUGUAUAAUAAAUCACUUAACUAAGAAGAGUGGUUUCCUACAAACUCAUGGUUCCCAAUCCCAGCUGAACACUCAACAUUAUUUGUUAAAACUUUUGAUUUGGGGCAGCUUCCUUUUAUGUUCAAAGGGUAUAUGACUAUUCCCCACUCGUGCCAUUUAAACCCCCACUCUUCCACAUUUAAACUAAUAGUGCCUCCUAACUCCCUGAGAAAAUAGAGGGCAUCAGUAAAAUGUCCUUCAAAGACCAAAAAGCCCAGUAGCCUUUUUAUAUCUCACUAUCCUUUUUCUUCUUCCCUGCUGUUUCAAAUAUCUCCUUUUCAAGAUACAUUCUUCUACUUGGGCUCUUGAUCCCAUCCUGACCCCUCCGGUUUCCUUCAUCUUGCCCCAUUAAUCAUUUCUUUUCUCUCCUAUAACUUCAACUUCUCCUCUCGAUUUUC